CUCGUAGUUGGAUUUCUGGCAGGAGCGACCGGUCAUGCACUCUGUGCGUGAACUCGUGUUGUCUCUGGCCAUCCUCGGGGAGAUCCUGUUUGGCAUUAAGUUGUCGGGCAGGGGAUACCCGUCGUUUACUGUGAGAAAAUUAGAGUGUUUAAAGCAGGCUUAUGCCGUUGAAUAUAUUAGCAUGGAAUAAUAAGAUAGGACUUCGGAACUAUUUUGUUGGUUUGCGUUACGAAGUAAUGAUUAAUAGGGACAGUUGGGGGUAUUCGUAUUUCGUUGUCAGAGGUGAAAUUCUUGGAUUUCCGAAAGACGAACUACUGCGAAAGCAUUUACCAA
This 333-nucleotide ribosomal RNA is filed under the name Thalassiosira anguste-lineata. RNAcentral's name for it is "SSU rRNA". It matches the Rfam family "Eukaryotic small subunit ribosomal RNA", at positions 627 to 961 of the family's 1831-position model. The record is from RNAcentral. Lineage: Eukaryota; Bacillariophyta; Thalassiosirophyceae; Thalassiosirales; Thalassiosiraceae.